This 301-nucleotide ribosomal RNA is filed under the name uncultured bacterium. RNAcentral's name for it is "partial 16S ribosomal RNA". It matches the Rfam family "Bacterial small subunit ribosomal RNA", at positions 509 to 807 of the family's 1533-position model. The record is from RNAcentral.
CAGUAGCCGCGGUAAUACGUAGGUGGCAAGCGUUGUCCGAAGUUACUGGGCGUAAAGCGCGCGUAGGCGGCUUCUUAAGUCUGAGGUGAAAGCCCCCGGCUCAACCGGGGAGGGUCAUUGGAAACUGGGAAACUUGAGUGCAGAAGAGGAGAGUGGAAUUCCACGUGUAGCGGUGAAAUGCGUAGAGAUGUGGAGGAACACCAGUGGCGAAGGCGACUCUCUGGUCUGUAACUGACGCUGAGGAGCGAAAGCGUGGGGAGCGAACAGGAUUAGAUACCCCUGUAGUCCCUGUCUCUUAUAC